UUAGAUUCUUUAAAGGAAGAUGAGAUAAUGUAGAAAAUCAUCACUUGCCCUGUUUAAUAUGGUCACGAGGGAGUGAUCAUCUGUAGGCCUACACAUAAACCUGAGAUGGCUAAUUCUGUUGGUAUUGAAGUUCUGCUCUGUGCAACAUCAUUUGCCCGAUUAUGUUUUUCAUGUUGGUUCGCAGAAUAUCAUCGCUUAAAUCAUCUCUGGAUAUCAUUACUCAUUACUCGCUCCACUCUACACAAGUUGCCUUGAAAUAGCUGAAGAUAUUAAUGUAUGAUAUAACAUGCAUGAUAAUCCUUGUGAGCCUCUUCUACAAGACAGACCUAAUAGUGGUUUGCAGGAUAAGUGGGUACCUGAGGAAGUUCGAAUGUAAAAUGUGCUGAUAUAUUUCCUGCAGCAAACUAUGGAAUUUCCCCCAUAGGCAUCGUUCCAAUGACUGGAAUGGUUUCAUCUCGCAUCUUUCUCAAUUUGUUUCUCAUAAAUUUCUUAAUCUGGAUAGUCUUCAUGUAUGUAGAAGCUGCUAGUGACCUUAAUUAUGAGAUUCUGCAUUUCCGCAACAAAGUGUUGAGAACACGGAAGAAAGUUGAUGAUAAGCCAGAAUUCAGUGGUAAUGAAUCUGGAAAGACGGAUUUUCCAAGAUAGCUUAAAUGGAAAAGACGGAAUUCCAAGAUAAUGUAUCUCGGAAAGACUCCUUUCCAAGAUAUCUUAACUAUCUCAGAAAUACGUAGGUGGAAUUGCAAGAUAGUUAUUCUUAGAAAUGAAAAAUUCCAAGGAAACUCUUCUCAGAAAACUAAUUUCCAACAUAGCUAAUUCCUGAAAAAUGGGAAUGUAAGAUGAUCUCGGAUUGUUUGAUUUGAAUUUAAUUUUUUCCUUUUAUACAAUUUAUAUUUAUUUAUUUUUUGUGUAUGUAAAUGGUUGGUAGACACUGUUAAGUAGAUAUUAAUAUUAUUAUAUUAUUUUUAUUAUUGAUUCAUGUUUUUAUUGAUUAUUAUUUUUCUAUUAUAAUUAUAGCUAUUAUUACAAUAAUGAUUAUAAUUUUAUUAUUUAUCAAUUUUCAUCGCUUUUCUUAUCAUGUGUUAUGAAUAAUAAAAUCACAAGCUACAUUUCAUUACUUUUAUUUUAAUAUUGUUGAAUUCUUGGAUGUGUACUGACAAGAAAAUGAUUAGAAAAUAACUCAGUAUUAAAUGGUCAGUAUCAAAAUAAGAUCAAAAUAAGAGCCUUAUUCAGACUAUCAAAACAUGGGGUAAGCCUAAUAAAUAUGGUCAUGAUGGCAUCACACCAUGACCAUAUAUAGGCACAUAUGUAGGAGCGUGUGCCACAGCGUGUGGGGUGUUGGACUUCUGAUUGUGAGAUCAGAAGUUCAAAUGAAAACGCACUAUAUAAAUUCCGAUUCUGAAAAAAAAAAAUCAUUACUAUAAUAUAGUAUAUUAUAUGUUAUAUGGGCAUGCAACGGCUUUUUUUUUGUCAAAUAAAAUUUAAUAUUCUGGAAUAUUCAUAUUAAUUCGUAUGAUUUAAUGUAAUAAAAUAGAUGGACCAUCAUAUAUAUAAAGAAUAUUAAAAUAUUAUGGAGAUUUAAUGCGGUUACAAGAAAGCUCAUCUGUUAAACUUCCUUUAACUAGGAAGUACGAGAGAAAAGUGAAGAGACCCGUAGGAAGGCCUGAAGACACAUUGCUAAACUCAACAGAUUGAAAAUUCCUCCAAUAGGAAAAAAAUGGCCUAAUAUGGAGGAAAGUGUGAUCUCUAAAGCUUUCAACACAGUUCUGCUUCAGUACAACAAAUUUUUCUCUGCUCUAUGUGAGCGUUUAGAGACACAGAUUUAAAACAAUUCCAUCGGACAAACUUCUUCACGUUGUAGACUUCAUAAAAUUGCAUUAGCCAACGUUAAGCCAAUAUGGCAAUGAUGAUGUAUAUCCUUAUUGUAUUUUUUACUCUGCACUCUAUUAAAGUAUAAAGUAUAAUCUUAUGUUCAGAUGAAAAUGAGAUUGUUUAUUAAUGAGUUUCUGGUUAAAUGAUUUGAUAAUAAUAUGAUUACUGUAAACAAAAUGUCAACCAUGACAUCAAUAAUAUACAUUCAAAAUAAUUUUCUCUUCCCUUGCUUUUUGUUACUGCCCAUGUAAUG
This is a long non-coding RNA of Anneissia japonica, 2122 nucleotides long. RefSeq lists it as uncharacterized. The transcript is spliced from 3 exons. NCBI's taxonomy places the organism in Eukaryota, Metazoa, Echinodermata, Crinoidea, Comatulida, Comatulidae. The record is from RefSeq and is a predicted model, not a curated record.